Molecule: ribosomal RNA, 884 nt
Filed under: Hermatomyces sphaericus
Lineage: Eukaryota; Fungi; Ascomycota; Dothideomycetes; Pleosporales; Hermatomycetaceae
Description: partial large subunit ribosomal RNA
Rfam family: Eukaryotic large subunit ribosomal RNA
Source: RNAcentral
CAACAGGGAUUGCCCUAGUAACGGCGAGUGAAGCGGCAAGAGCUCAAAUUUGAAAUCUGGCUCCUUUGGAGUCCGAGUUGUAAUUUGUAGAGGGUGCUUUGGUGUCGGCUAUGGCCUAAGUUCCUUGGAACAGGACGUCACAGAGGGUGAGAACCCCGUAUGUGGCUGCUAGCCUUCACCAUGUAAAGCCCCUUCGACGAGUCGAGUUGUUUGGGAAUGCAGCUCUAAAUGGGAGGUAAAUUUCUUCUAAAGCUAAAUAUUGGCCAGAGACCGAUAGCGCACAAGUAGAGUGAUCGAAAGAUGAAAAGCACUUUGGAAAGAGAGUCAAAAAGCACGUGAAAUUGUUGAAAGGGAAGCGCUUGCAGCCAGACUUGCUCGUAGUUGCUCAUCCGAGCUUUUGCUCGGUGCACUCUUCUGCGAGCAGGCCAGCAUCAGUCCGGGCGGUUGGAUAAAGGCUCUGGGAAUGUAGCUCUCUUCGGGGAGUGUUAUAGCCCAGGGUGUCAUGCAACCAGUCUGGACUGAGGUCCGCGCAUCUGCUAGGAUGCUGGCGUAAUGGCUGUAAGCGGCCCGUCUUGAAACACGGACCAAGGAGUCUAACAUCUAUGCGAGUGUUUGGGUGUCAAGCCCGGGCGCGCAAUGAAAGUGAACGGAGGUGGGAACCCUUCGGGGCGCACCAUCGACCGAUCCUGAUGUCUUCGGAUGGAUUUGAGUAAGAGCAUAGCUGUUGGGACCCGAAAGAUGGUGAACUAUGCCUGAAUAGGGUGAAGCCAGAGGAAACUCUGGUGGAGGCUCGCAGCGGUUCUGACGUGCAAAUCGAUCGUCAAAUUUGGGCAUAGGGGCGAAAGACUAAUCGAACUAUCUAGUAGCUGGUUCCUGCCAGAAGU